GAUAAACGCUGGCGGCGUGCCUAAUGCAUGCAAGUCGAACGGAUAGUUUCUUCGGAGGCUAUUAGUGGCAAACGGGUGAGUAACACGUGGGGAUCUGCCCAGUAGUGGGGAACGAACUCCGAGAAAUCGGAGCUAAUACCGCAUACGGUCUGUGUCGAGGGGCGACGAGACUAAAGACCGACGUAAGUGGGCGCUAUUGGAGGAACCUGCGGCUGAUUAGCUAGUUGGUGGGAAAGGUCCGUACCAGCGAUGAUCAGUAGCUGGUCUGAGAGGAUGGACAGCCACACUGGGACUGGAGAUACGGCCCA
RNAcentral lists this ribosomal RNA (308 nucleotides) under uncultured bacterium. RNAcentral describes it as "bacterial SSU rRNA". It matches the Rfam family "Bacterial small subunit ribosomal RNA", at positions 28 to 333 of the family's 1533-position model. The record is from RNAcentral.